GGCUCAGGAUGAACGCUGGCGGCGUGCUUAACACAUGCAAGUCGAACGAUGAAGCCCAGCUUGCUGGGUGGAUUAGUGGCGAACGGGUGAGUAACACGUGAGUAACCUGCCCUUAACUCUGGGAUAAGGCCUGGGAAACUGGUCCUAAUACCGGAUAAGGAGCGUCCACCGCAUGGUGGGUGUUGGAAGAUUUAUCGGUUUUGGAUGGACUCGCGGCCUAUCAGCUUGUUGGUGAGGUAAUGGCUCACCAAGGCGACGACGGGUAGCCGGCCUGAGAGGGUGACCGGCCACACUGGGACUGAGACACGGCCCAGACUCCUACGGGAGGCAGCAGUGGGGAAUAUUGCACAAUGGGCGAAAGCCUGAUGCAGCGACGCCGCGUGAGGGAUGACGGCCUUCGGGUUGUAAACCUCUUUCAGUAGGGAAGAAGCGAAAGUGACGGUACCUGCAGAAGAAGCACCGGCUAACUACGUGCCAGCAGCCGCGUAAUACGUAGGGUGCGAGCGUUAUCCGGAAUUAUUGGGCGUAAAGAGCUCGUAGGCGGUUUGUCGCGUCUGUCGUGAAAGUCCGGGGCUUAACCCCGGAUCUGCGGUGGGUACGGGCAGACUAGAGUGCAGUAGGGGAGACUGGAAUUCCUGGUGUAGCGGUGGAAUGCGCAGAUACAGGAGGAACACCGAUGGCGAAGGCAGGUCUCUGGGCUGUAACUGACGCUGAGGAGCGAAAGCAUGGGGAGCGAACAGGAUUAGAUACCCUGGUAGUCCAUGCCGUAAACGUUGGGCACUAGGUGUGGGGACCAUUCCACGGUUUCCGCGCCGCAGCUAACGCAUUAAGUGCCCCGCCCUGGGGAGUACGGCCGCAAGGCUAAAACUCAAAGGAAUUGACGGGGGCCCGCACAAGCGGCGGAGCAUGCGGAUUAAUUCGAUGCAACGCGAAGAACCUUACCAAGGCUUGACAUGUUCCCGAUCGCCGUAGAGAUACGAUUUCCCCUUUGGGGCGGGUUCACAGGUGGUGCAUGGUUGUCGGUCAGCUCGUGUCGUGAGAUGUUGGGUUAAGUCCCGCAACGAGCCGCAACCCUCGUUCCAUGUUGCCAGCACGUAAUGGUGGGGACUCAUGGGAGACUGCCGGGGUCAACUCGGGGAAGGUGAGGACGACGUCAAAUCAUCAUGCCCCUUAUGUCUUGGGCUUCACGCAUGCUACAAUGGGCCGGUACAAUGGGUUGCGAUACUGUGAGGUGGAGCUAAUCCCAAAAAGCCGCGUCUCAGUUCGGAUUGGGGUCUGCAACUCGACCCCAUGAAGUCGGAGUCGCUAGUAUUCGCAAUCAGCAACGCUGCGGUGAAUACGUUCCCGGGCCUUGUACACACCGCCCGUCAAGUCACGAAAGUCGUAAACACCC
This 1393-nucleotide ribosomal RNA is filed under the name Micrococcus luteus. Its description in RNAcentral is "16S ribosomal RNA". It matches the Rfam family "Bacterial small subunit ribosomal RNA". The record is from RNAcentral. Lineage: Bacteria; Bacillati; Actinomycetota; Actinomycetes; Micrococcales; Micrococcaceae.